GGGCCUUUAGCUCAGUUGGCUAGAGCACCUGCUUUGCAAGCAGGGGGUCGUGGGUUCGAAUCCCACAAGGUCCACCA
This 77-nucleotide transfer RNA is filed under the name Patescibacteria group bacterium. RNAcentral describes it as "tRNA-Ala". It matches the Rfam family "tRNA". Rfam says of the family: Transfer RNA (tRNA) molecules are approximately 80 nucleotides in length. The record is from RNAcentral. RNAcentral also lists the same sequence under 2 other names.